This 290-nucleotide ribosomal RNA is filed under the name uncultured bacterium. Its description in RNAcentral is "partial 16S ribosomal RNA". It matches the Rfam family "Bacterial small subunit ribosomal RNA", at positions 29 to 334 of the family's 1533-position model. The record is from RNAcentral.
AACGAACGCUGGCGGCAGGCUUAACACAUGCAAGUCGAACGAGACCCUAGAGCUUGCUCUAGGUGACAGUGGCAGACGGGUGAGUAACGCGUGGCAACCUACCUUUUUCUACGGAACAACAGUUAGAAAUGACUGCUAAUACCGUAUACGCCCUCCGGGGGAAAGAUUUAUCGGUGAAAGAUGGGGCCGCGUUAGAUUAGCUGGUUGGUGAGGUAAAAGCUCACCAAGGCGACGAUCUAUAGCUGGUCUGAGAGGAUGAUCAGCCACACUGGAACUGAGACACGGUCCAG